GCCAAGUGUAAUAUCAUAAUUAUCCCAUGGAAUUUAUUAAUUUAAUAUUUAAUUUAACUAAGUGGAAGGUUCGAGUCUGGUCGACCCGAAACGACCUGUUCGUGGUGGUCACCCCACCCGGGUUCGAACCCCAAUGAAAACUUCAAUUAAAUGUAUAUAAUUUGAGGUUUAAAAUAUGAUUUUUAAGGUCUUUAUGGUCAUUUCACUAAGAUAAUUAAAUCAGAUUUUUUUAUUAAAUUAACAAGGAGUCCUAGUUUUACUAAUUCCUAAACUAAAACUCCUAAUCCUGAACUACUCUCUCACGCUCAUCUCUUUCACGUCUCUGCACUUUUCUUUCACGUUUUAUCUGCCAAACAAGAGUACUAAAGUAGAAAAAUUACUAAAGUUCUUCACACAUGAAGAACUCACACAAUAAAAAAUCAAAACAUAAGCAAAAACGUUAAGCAAAAAGGGAAGUUUCUCUGUCGAAUUGUGUUGAAGUUGCAGGGAAUUGGAUGUGAUUUUGGAGAAGAUUUUGGGCAGGAAGUUCAAGGUUUGAACGAUAGAAGAGGUGCAGGUGCAGGUGAACGCUAGAAAAUUACAAGACUAUGCUGAUGUUAUUAGGACGUGGAGCAUUCAUCUGGUCUUGGUGAAGAUGCAGGUGAACGCUAGAAAAUUACAAGACUAUGCUGAUGUUAUUCGGACGUGGAGCAUUCAUCUGGUCUUGGUAGGCCCUCUUGCUUUCGAGGAUGCCUAUAUUUUAUAUUCUAGCUUAGAUGUAGGCAUGAGCUAGUGGAGGAUGUUCCACUAGCGUUUCUUUCUCACUUGUUUCAGACAUUGUAUUGGUUCCAUCUUGGCAAGUGUACGUUUAAUGCAGUUAUGAAUUAUUUCAUUCAUUUGA
Solanum pennellii is the source of this 880-nucleotide long non-coding RNA. RefSeq lists it as uncharacterized. NCBI's taxonomy places the organism in Eukaryota, Viridiplantae, Streptophyta, Magnoliopsida, Solanales, Solanaceae. The transcript has 3 exons. The record is from RefSeq and is a predicted model, not a curated record.